AUUGAACGCUGGCGGCAUGCUUUACACAUGCAAGUCGAGCGGCAGCGCGGGGGCAACCCUGGCGUCGAGCGGCGAACGGGUGAGUAAUGCAUCGGAACGUAUCCUCUAGUGGGGGAUAACCCAGCGAAAGUUGGGCUAAUACCGCAUGAGCUCUGAGGAGGAAAGCGGGGGACCUGCGAGGGCCUCGCGCUGGAGGAUCGGCCGAUGUCCGAUUAGCUAGUUGGUGGGGUAAAGGCUUACCAAGGCGACGAUCGGUAGCUGGUCUGAGAGGAUGAUCAGCCACACUGGAACUGAGAAACGGCCCAGACUCCUACGGGAGGCAGCAGUGGGGAAUUUUGGACAAUGGGGGCAACCCUGAUCCAGCAAUGCCGCGUGAGUGAAGAAGGCCUUCGGGUUGUAAAGCUCUUUCGGACGGAACGAAAUGGGGGGGACUAAUACACCUGUCUGAUGACGGUACCGUAAGAAGAAGCACCGGCUAACUACGUG
RNAcentral lists this ribosomal RNA (486 nucleotides) under uncultured bacterium. Its description in RNAcentral is "partial 16S ribosomal RNA". It matches the Rfam family "Bacterial small subunit ribosomal RNA", at positions 29 to 507 of the family's 1533-position model. The record is from RNAcentral.